Long non-coding RNA from Brassica napus (rape), 1033 nucleotides. RefSeq lists it as uncharacterized. Lineage: Eukaryota; Viridiplantae; Streptophyta; Magnoliopsida; Brassicales; Brassicaceae. The transcript is spliced from 3 exons. The record is from RefSeq and is a predicted model, not a curated record.
GAGUUUCUUCUCGUUCUACCAAACUGAUUAUGUUGAUAUCUGUAGUGUCUUUUUCUUUGAACGCAUAAACUGAUUAUGUUGAUAUCUGUAGUGUCUUUUUCUUUGUACACCUCUCUUCUCUUCUUCUAAUCCCCAUUUCUUUUUUUUCCAGAGCACAACUAAUCUCUCUUGGUUUCUCACUUACUUACUCUGAAUUUUUGAAUUAGCUUAGAUCCCUAAAGUCGAUAUCUUUGGAUCAGUUUCCAAAUGGAUAAUCAUUCUUUGCCGCUGUUAAAUCUAGCAACACCGGACUUGCGUUUUCAUCUUUGGCAGCUGGAGGAGGAGGCAAACCUGAUGCUGCGUUGGUCAUGGAUUGGUCUGUUGAAGAGCAUUAUGUAUUAGAGAACGGCCUUGCAAAGUAGGUAUCUUCUUUCUUAUGUUCUUCUUCAACGUUGAGCAAGGCAGCAUCACUAUCAGGAACAACUCCGAUUGCAAUCCAGUCAAGUAACAUAAAGUUAAACGGAGUGAUAUCAGUGCCAUAGAUGAAAUUGAUCUUGUAUUGAUGAUUGGUUGGUCUGUAGGUCACACCGGGGUUAUUGAUGGAGAAAUUUUCAAUGCUUCUCCAUGAUCCAACAUGUACUUUCUUGGCAAACUUUUCAAAGUAUGGAGCACCUUAACUUCAACACGCCAUUCGGACUUGUAUGGUAGGAUGGCAGCCAAAGGCGUGAGUUCCAUGCUUAAAGGUAACUGCUGAAUUAGAUUAAGUUUGUAAACUCAGAUUUUAGAAAGCGUGUUAAGAGUAGAUGGUAGGAACAAUAUUUAUAAAAGAGGGAUGGCGAUGGAAAUGAUUAGGGAGAAGGAUAAAAUAUUGUUUUUUAGUUAAAAAAAUUGUUGCAAAAUAUGAAGGCAUAUUUUACGGGAUUAAAGAGUUAGAUAUCAAAAUUUUCGAAAUUCAGUUUAGAUAUAUUGUUGUUCGCAUCAAGUUUUAAUUUUAGUAUUUUUUAAUUAAACAAUAACUUUAUUCUAAAUGGUGGCUCCUGGUGGUUACAAUCCU